RNAcentral lists this ribosomal RNA (186 nucleotides) under Saccharomyces pastorianus. RNAcentral describes it as "partial ribosomal RNA". It matches the Rfam family "Eukaryotic large subunit ribosomal RNA", at positions 1 to 184 of the family's 3401-position model. The record is from RNAcentral. Lineage: Eukaryota; Fungi; Ascomycota; Saccharomycetes; Saccharomycetales; Saccharomycetaceae.
UUGACCUCAAAUCAGGUAGGAGUACCCGCUGAACUUAAGCAUAUCAAUAAGCGGAGGAAAAGAAACCAACCGGGAUUGCCUUAGUAACGGCGAGUGAAGCGGCAAAAGCUCAAAUUUGAAAUCUGGUACCUUCGGUGCCCGAGUUGUAAUUUGGAGAGGGCAACUUUGGGGCCGUUCCUUGUCUAU